Molecule: non-coding RNA, 29 nt
Filed under: Mus musculus (house mouse)
Lineage: Eukaryota; Metazoa; Chordata; Mammalia; Rodentia; Muridae
Source: RNAcentral
UGACCUUCAGGCUAAACUCCUCCCAGUUA